GGGGAGAGGGAAAUCGUCUUUCAAACUAGCUUUAUUAAGAUCCCGGUAGUCAACGCACACCCUGACUCUCCCGUCCUUCUUCAUUACCGGGACAACGUUAGCUAUCCAUUGGGGAUAUUUGACUACUUCUAUGAACCCAGCGUCGUACUGUUUCUUGACCUCAUCCCUAACUUUGAGCAGUGUGUCAGGAUUCAUUCUUCUUAGCUUCUGCUUUACCGGGAUUGUCCCUGGAAUUAGGGGAAUUUUGUGCGC
This 252-nucleotide unclassified non-coding RNA is filed under the name Hevea brasiliensis (rubber tree). The record is from RNAcentral. Lineage: Eukaryota; Viridiplantae; Streptophyta; Magnoliopsida; Malpighiales; Euphorbiaceae.